This is a long non-coding RNA of Notothenia coriiceps (black rockcod), 2203 nucleotides long. RefSeq lists it as uncharacterized. The transcript has 3 exons. The record is from RefSeq and is a predicted model, not a curated record. NCBI's taxonomy places the organism in Eukaryota, Metazoa, Chordata, Actinopteri, Perciformes, Nototheniidae.
UGUUCCUAAUAGUUUUCCAUUCAGUCUCUGAUCUUAAAACAUUUCUGAUUUCAGGCGCUUCAUUGGUAUCAACCCAGAGAGAGGAACAAAGGCCAUCCGGGGCAAGGUUGUCUCCAAGAAGACGGCUGUGAUCGUCCAGAAGAAGUCUGCCACAGUCAACACACACGUCUCCACACUACUGAAGAACCUCCUUGACUUUGAAUCGGACUGACGUUGCCACAUUAUGCCACAAGACACUUUGUGGCAACACUGGUAAGGACAGGAACAAGGACCAGCAAGGUGAUGGUCAUCUUUACCUGAACUAGAAGAUUCCUCUUUGUAUCAGGACUGUCCACACCCACCCAGAAUCUUCCUGAAGUUAAGCAUGCACCUACCUCACAGGACUAUUUCAAGAGGCAAAACACAAGCCCCACAUUUUUCUACUGGUGCAUAUUUUCUAAAUGGUCUUAAUGAUGCAUAUUUUCCAAAUGUUGCUAAUGAUGCAUAUUUUCAAAAUGGUCUUAAUGCACAUUUAAAAAAUGUUCUUACUGAUGUAUAUUUUCAAAAUGUUCUUAAUAGUACAGUGUGUUUUCUAAAUGUUGCUUAUAAUGCAUUUGUUCAAAAAUGGUCUUACUGAUGCAUAUUUUCACAGACAGCAGAGAAUACAAUAUUGCAGUAAAUUUAGAUAUUUUAAACUGCUUUUUGAGAGAACAUAAACCUCACAGGAUUAUUUAUAGGUUAAACACUUAUGUCCUCUGUAUUAGUUGCCUUGGUAUUCCGCCAAAUUGUUUGAUCCCAGGUCAAGUACAAGUUUGGUAAGACAAGUCACAUAUAACAAUAAUUUGGAAGGAGUUACAACUGAUGUCUCAGGUGUUUUCACGUUUGGUAAGGUGCAGUCUCUGACAUGCAAUGUAAUAAUUUCAGUUUAUUGCCAUUGUUUCACUUUUAGGCAGUUUAAUUUAGCUGCUCUACAUGUCUUUAGCUUGUUUCUAGGGUUGUCACGAUACCAGAAAUGUAGUAGUCGAUACCAAUAGUGAAUUUCCACGAUUCUCAAUACCAAAUUUAGAUACCACUGUAAAAAACAAAAACAAAACCAUAGAUAACCAUGUACUUCAACAUACACUCCUUUAAUUACCGUUUGCAUACUGUUUUUUUUCAGGAAGUUAAACAGGUCAUAAUUCCCUCUCUAUUAUCUAUGUUAUAUUGCUGUGAAAACAUCUCAUUCAAACAGCUGUAUUUAUUCAAGUUUCUCCUCAAAAAGUACAUUUUACAUGAUUACAUUUGAACACAUGAUAACGUUAGAAUUUACCUUCGCCCAAUACUCAUUUUUAUUGAACACAUCAUAAUGUAACCCAAUGAUUAACGUUGGCUGUUAGCUCUGCAGGACUGUGCUGCUUACCGGCUGCUAACUGCUAACAGCUAACAUUAGCUCUCGUCCUGCCUAUUUCAACACUGGGGGAAAAAAUAGGGUGCGUCCCCUGGACGUGUCAAUAGUGAGUUUACUGCAUUUCCAACACAUUUUCUACGAGACGCCACACCGCUAGUCUCAAAGUAUUGGUUCUCGUUACAUCCCUACUUGUUUCUCUGGGUCUUCCAACCGCUUCUUUUCUUUUUUUUACAGUAGCAGAAUUUAUGUUGCCACUGCCUUUUUAAAUAAAAGUGUGUUUGCAUUAAAUCCUUUCCAAAUUGUUUAUUGCUUAUUUUGCAUUAUUUUCAUAAUAAUGCAUAUUUUAAGCGGAUGUCUGUAGCCAACUGAACAAUACAUAUUUUAUGUUAAUUUAAUUAAUAAUGGAUUUUUAGGUAUUCUAAACUGCUAAAUUGAGUUGUUGUAUUAUCAAUCAAGUAAUCUACUGGCAACCCCCUAACCAGAAUGUUACUGUGAAUCAUUAAAUGUUCUACAGUAAUAAACUGAAAUUGUUCAACAAUAUGAAUACUGUAGAAUUUCAGUUUAUUGCUGGCGUCUCUGCUGCCAGUAUUUUACUGUUAAUUGAAAAGAUACAGCAGUAUACUGUAUUUUAUUUUUACAGUGAGAGGCUGUAAAGUCAUUUCACAGUAUGAGUACUGUAGUAUUACAUUAAAUUGCUGGCGUCUGUGCUGCCAGCACUUUACUGUUAUUUGACAGGAAAAUGUGUUGCAGUGUACAUCUGAUAUCUAACUCCUUCAGCCUACUUUCAGCUGCAGAAACCAUUCAACUAUUAAAUUAUUCAGCUAUUUCAGGACAUUG